CAGGGGGUAGCAUAAGGGUUAGUGCGCUUUAAAGUAUCUAAUGAUACUUACAAUCUAAUUAUUUGGAUUUUGGAUAUCUAGAGAUAAAGGUUCGAUUCCUUUCCCCCUGA
RNAcentral lists this transfer RNA (110 nucleotides) under Caudoviricetes sp. RNAcentral describes it as "tRNA-OTHER". It matches the Rfam family "tRNA". From Rfam's summary of the family: Transfer RNA (tRNA) molecules are approximately 80 nucleotides in length. Their secondary structure includes four short double-helical elements and three loops (D, anti-codon, and T loops). Further hydrogen bonds mediate the characteristic L-shaped molecular structure. tRNAs have two regions of fundamental functional importance: the anti-codon, which is responsible for specific mRNA codon recognition, and the 3' end, to which the tRNAs corresponding amino acid is attached (by aminoacyl-tRNA synthetases). tRNAs cope with the degeneracy of the genetic code in two manners: having more than one tRNA (with a specific anti-codon) for a particular amino acid; and 'wobble' base-pairing, i.e. permitting non-standard base-pairing at the 3rd anti-codon position. Lineage: Duplodnaviria; Heunggongvirae; Uroviricota; Caudoviricetes. The record is from RNAcentral.